UUUUUAAUUACCUGAUGUUUGGCGCUAGACCUGUGUCGGCGGUAGGCAUGUGCCGAUAUGACAUUUUUGUGUCACGGUUUACGAUGAUGUAUCGACUAUGUCUUUAACAGUAGCUGUUAUUAUUGGUCAGCGUUUUUAAGUGUGUGUGAAUUACUCAGGAUUUGGCUCCCUUUGUAUGUGACACCGGUUUACUCAACAAUCGCUCGCUAGCUUUGUAGCUCAGAUGAAUGGAAUGGUAGCAGCGAUAAUCUGUGAAGUGUAUCUGCGAUGAUAGUAUUAAGCCUGCCGAAUAUUGCAACGUAACGUCGAAGUGGUGGGUGUUGAUUCAGCGUUUUUGGUUAGCAAUGACUUUAUCAGCUUUGGUUUAGAGGUUCGAUCAGCUGUUGAAUCGGUUGGUUUUGAAUCCUGGAUUCAGUUGCCUAUGACAUGUUGUAUAGAUGAAGUAUGGCUCAGUGAAUUGGUUAUCUGUGAUUCAUUGAUCAGUUGAGUGACUCCUUGGUUCACUGAACGAAUCACCAGUGACUUGUUGAAUAAGCCAUCCAUUAGUAGGCAGAAGCUCUUUGAAUCAUUAGGCUGCGGCUCACUGAAUCGGUUAUGAUUGUUUCAUUGAAUAGAUCAACUGUGGCUCAUUGAAUCAGUUAGCUCUGGCUCAUUGAAUCAGCAAUCUGUAAGUCACUGAAUCAGUCAGCUUUGUCUUGUUGAAUCGGUCAGCUGUGACUCACUGAAUUGGUUAGCUGUGACUUGUUGAAUCGGUCAGCUCUGGCUCGUUGAAUCGGUCAGCUGUGACUCUUUGAAUCGGUCAGCUGUGACUUUGAAUUGGUCAGCUGUGACUCAUUGAAUUGGUCAGCUGUGGCUCGUUUAAUCGGUCAGCUGUGACUCACUGUAUCGGUCAGCUGUGACUCACUGAAUCGGUCAGCUGUGGCUUGUUGAAUCGGUCAGCUGUGACUCGGUUAAUUGUUCUGAAUAACUGAGUAUCGGCACAUGCCUCGUGUCUAAGCAUAACAUCUUAGUGUCCAUGUAGAUAAUCUCUUACGACAUUGUUGUGAUUUGUAUGUGUGUUUGUGUGUACCCGCUGCAGUAUUCCAGUUCCAAACCGGUGCUGUUAUGUCGUACGGCUCCGAUCCGUGUGCCGAUUUGUUAGUGUUUUCCGUUUUUUAAAAUUGUAGACGUCGGGAUCCGUUUUUAUUCACUCUCCGAUGCGCUUUGCUCUGCUCUUCUCUUUUUUUCUUUUCUUUUCUUUUUGUUGUUAAGUGUGUAUUUGUUGUAACUUGGGAGAUAACAGAUGGUAAUAAAGUUUGAUAAAUAUUUCA
Ictalurus punctatus (channel catfish) is the source of this 1310-nucleotide long non-coding RNA. The record is from Ensembl. Lineage: Eukaryota; Metazoa; Chordata; Actinopteri; Siluriformes; Ictaluridae.